AUGGCCUAACGGCUGAACCAGCAAUUUGAAAGAAUGAAUAGUGGUUUACCCACAUAAAGUUCUAGAUAGAUAAUAGAUGAUGACUAAUUUCUAUUUACCAGUCUUGACUAAAUCACGUGCCAGCAGUCGCGGUAAUACGGGGAAGACUAGUGUUAUUCAUUUUUAAUAGGUUUAAAGGGUACCUAGACGGGUUUUACACACUUUAUCUUAUUUUGAAAUAAAUAAGGCAUAUAGCAUAUUAAUGCGAAUAUAUGUGAGUAAGGAAACCUAGAGUUUUAUGUGAGAGGGAUAUUAGUACUAGUUGAGUAGAGAUGAAAUUCUUUAAUACAAUUAAGCACUGGUAAAGGCGAAGGCAGUCCUUUGUGUGAAAACUGACGUUGAGGGACGAAGGCUUGGGUAACAAACAGGAUUAGAUACCCUAAUAGUCCUUGCAGAAAAAUAUGAAUGCCAUAGAUUAAACAAACAUGUGAUUUCUAUAAAUUAAAAUGUAAGCAUUCCACCUCAAGAGUAAUACGGCAACGUAUAAACUGAAAUCAUUAGACCGUUUCUGAAACCAGUAGUGAAGUAUGUUGUUUAAUUCGAUGAUCCACGAAAAACCUUACCACAACUUGAAUAUUUUAGCUGUAGGCUAUUUUACAGGUGUUGCACGGCUGUCUUUAGUUAAUGUCGUGAGAUGCAGGUUCGCUCCAAAUAAUUAACGUAAACCCUUGUCGUGUUUGUUUACACGAUAGUUCCCCGGCAUAUCGGAUAAGUUAACAGGGAUCAAGGCAAGUACUCGCGGCCCU
RNAcentral lists this ribosomal RNA (785 nucleotides) under Plectocarpon scrobiculatae. RNAcentral describes it as "SSU rRNA". It matches the Rfam family "Bacterial small subunit ribosomal RNA", at positions 371 to 1202 of the family's 1533-position model. The record is from RNAcentral. Lineage: Eukaryota; Fungi; Ascomycota; Arthoniomycetes; Arthoniales; Lecanographaceae.